AAAGUCGUAACAAGGUCUCCGUUGGUGAACCAGCGGAGGGAUCAUUAGCGAGUACUAUACUCAUAACCCCCUGUGAACUAUCUCUGUUGCUUUGGUAGGCGCACUCCGGCUGUCACGGCCGACAGUGCCCUGCCGAAAGGAUUCCCUGCGGGGUCUCUGCCACUACAACUCUGUUAAGACGGGAUUUUUAGUUGACCCAAAAAUAUAUUACAACUUUCAACAACGGAUCUCUUGGCUCUG
RNAcentral lists this unclassified non-coding RNA (240 nucleotides) under Ascomycota sp. Its description in RNAcentral is "partial contains small subunit ribosomal RNA, internal transcribed spacer 1, and 5.8S ribosomal RNA". The stretch from base 1 to 47 matches the Rfam family "Eukaryotic small subunit ribosomal RNA", at positions 1785 to 1831 of the family's 1831-position model. The record is from RNAcentral. Lineage: Eukaryota; Fungi; Ascomycota.